Molecule: non-coding RNA, 365 nt
Organism: Protobothrops mucrosquamatus (brown spotted pit viper)
Lineage: Eukaryota; Metazoa; Chordata; Lepidosauria; Squamata; Viperidae
Product: small Cajal body-specific RNA 2
Exons: 1
Source: RefSeq, a predicted model, not a curated record
CAGUCAGGGCGAGCGAUCGUGGUGUGCUUGUGAAUGGGAGCGAGCGUGGUUUGGAGGAUGCUUGAACCGCGUCUGUAGUUUGUGUGUUACCGUGUGUAAGGUUUCGGGAGGUGUAUGUACGUGGCCCUGCUCUGCAACAAUUGCUUUUACACGUUGAUCUUAUUUGAUCGGGCCGAGAUGUCGCCGCCUUCCCGGCCUGAAAUGAAAAGACCCGCUUGUGUGAAGCCCUUGGCGCUGUACGGAGAAGCCGGUUUAAUGAGCGUGCGGCAGUAUGGUCGGAAAUGAUGAAUUGAUCAGAUAGAUGAGGCUGGAGGUUGGAAAGUUCCUCUUCCUAGCCAAUGUGUAUCGAAGCGAUUCUGAUCCGG